Molecule: ribosomal RNA, 468 nt
Filed under: uncultured bacterium
Lineage: Bacteria
Description: partial 16S ribosomal RNA
Rfam family: Bacterial small subunit ribosomal RNA
Source: RNAcentral
GACGAACGCUGGCGGCGUGCUUAACACAUGCAAGUCGAACGGAAAGGCCCUGCUUUUGUGGGGUGCUCGAGUGGCGAACGGGUGAGUAACACGUGAGUAACCUGCCCUUGACUUUGGGAUAACUUCAGGAAACUGGGGCUAAUACCGGAUAGUAGCUCCUGCUGCAGGGUGGGGGAUGGAAAGUUUCGGCGGUUGGGUAUGGACUCGCGGCUUAUCAGCUUGUUGGUGGGGUAGUGGCUUACCAAGGCUUUGACGGGUAGCCGGCCUGAGAGGGUGACCGGCCACAUUGGGACUGAGAUACGGCCCAGACUCCUACGGGAGGCAGCAGUGGGGAAUAUUGCACAAUGGGCGGAAGCCUGAUGCAGCAACGCCGCGUGCGGGAUGACGGCCUUCGGGGUGUAAACCGCUUUCGCCUGUGACGAAGCGUGAGUGACGGUAAUGGGUAAAGAAGCAACGGCUAACUACGUG